UCAGAGGCGCAGGGAAGAGACAACCAGGAAGUGUUCUCCGACUGUGGUCGUUCCUCCGAGUAAUGCUUUUUCUAAAGUCAUUCGUCGCCACCUUAGGAAAAACUACAGCCUUUUUAGCAUCUUUGGUCGUCAUCGUUGCAGUUGUUUUGAAGUGUUUCGACGAUCCAGAGCCAGUACACCUCACCAGAAUGGCUGCGGCAGACAUAAAAACUCUGGAGGAAAAUUUCAGACAGCAGAAUAAGAGCUGCUUCGUCCUCGGUGCCUCUGGCGAAACUGGCAAGCUAUUGCUUCAAGAGUUGCUGGAGCGCAACAUCUUCUCCAAGAUAACCCUUAUUGGGAGGAGGCAGCUCACCUUUGAGGAUAAAGCAUAUGAAAACCUGGUUCAGGAAGUGGUGGACUUUGAGAAGCUUGAUGAUUAUGCAGCUGCUUUCCAGGGUCAUGAUGUUGGCUACUGCUGCCUGGGAACAACCAGGGCCAAAGCAGGGACUCAAGGUUUCAUUCGAGUUGACCAUGACUACGUAUUAAAGUCUGCCGAGCUUGCAAAAGCGGGAGGCUGCACACAAUUUCAUCUGGAGUCUUCGAGAGGAGCUGAUAAAGACAGCAGCUUCCUCUACCUCAAAGUGAAGGGACAAGUGGAAGCAGAUAUACAGGCACUGGAUUUUGACAGAUAUGCCAUUUACAGACCUGGGGUUUUGCUGGUGGACCGACAAGAAACUCGUCCUGGCGAGUGGCUAGCCAGGAAGUUCUUUGGUGCUGUUUCUGCGGUUUUCUCUACAUCCAUGUCCAUCCCAAUCCAAACAGUGGCCAAAGCAAUGGUGUCAAAUACUCUGCUUCAACCCGAACAGAAAGCUGAGAUCCUGGAGAACAAAGCUAUCGGCGCUCUGGGAAAGAGUGAUAAAAAGUAACUUUCAGGCUGUUUGUGCUCUGUUUUUGGUUCCUCAUGGUUGGUCACGUGAACAGUGGUAUCACGCAUAAAGGUGACAUCCAGGCAAGACAGGCUAAUGCAGGCUUCCAUAAAAGAUGGCCUCCACCUUCUAGAUUGACUACGAGUUACAGGAUGCCACCUUUGGGGAGACGACCAAGUGGCAACAUAUACCCUGCUAAAGGUGGAUCAAAAACUCUUAAUCCUGGCACACAGUCCAUGAACGUUCCCGAAGGCCCAUUGGAUCCUUUUCAAUCUAGUGUUAGCUCGUCCCAAGCUGGAAUACGUCAAAACCGACCUGCACAAAGAGUCUCAUUUUCUGAUGGCAAGUUCACACGAGCAGGUUCUGAUUCUAUAAUGCCCCCGGGUGGAGUGCCCCUCAAAGGCAAUGCCAACCAUUCCAAAAAGCAGGAAGUUCCAGUAGGUGUUUAUUCACGCAGCAGUGCAUCUCAUCCAAACAUUAGGCCCCUUCACGUCCGCAGCAAGGUGGGCUCUACAGUUAAGGGGAAAUCUGGAGGCAACCAGAUGUCUGCUCAAAGGCUAUUCAUCAGUGAUGGAAUGUCAGAAGCAACAGGAUACGCCCAAGUCCGCCGCCUCAGGCCUGGUUUUGACAGAACGCAACCCAACACUGGCUCUGCAAAUGGAAAGUUCUCGGAAACCAAUUUUCCAACCCAGAGCGAGCGCCGCAAUGAUUCAUCAAAGCCGAAUCUUAAAGUCUACUCCAUAGGACGCCAGCCCAUCAGUUGGCAUCCUCGACUAGCGCUCAAGCAAGUCAGAGUCCAAGGCAAGUUCAAACCUUUCCAAAGACGUUAUCCCCCGACUGGAGUCCAUCCAUCUGGGAGGCCAGAGACGUCGGCUCGUGAUGUAGGGUGGACAUCACGGCCUCCUUUUGUCAACGCAACUGCUUAUGCAACUGUUGGCCCUUCAACCACUGGAGAGAUAAAUACUACACCUUAUUUCAUGCACACGCAGCCUAUUCUACCUCAAUCAACAGAAUCUAAUUUUGAACGUAAACUACAUGUAGAUUCUACCCCAGAGCCAAAAGCAGAGCAAAGUGAAGAUGACCCCGUUGGCACCGUUGAUCAGGUUAUGUCUGGUUAUGAUUGCCAACACAUGGCAACGUCAACAUUAUUAUUACUUGUGAACUCGGUCAUUUAUAAUGUUAGCAUGUGAACUCAUGCUUUUGUUUUUAAUUAUUUUGCUGGUUUUUACAGUUGCCACUGAUUGGAAACCAACUCUGUUAUUACCUAUUUAAGCAGUAUUUGAGUGACCUUUUAAAUGAUUGAAAUGUAAUGCUCCAGUCCCUUGCUUUUUAAAUAAAACGCUUAGAUGAUUUUUAAACAGUGAUUGACCAGUGCAAUCACCUAUAAUCCAAAUGAGUGCAAUCGGUAUAGAAGAUGGAUGGGUGGACUUUUAAGCACAAGACCAGCCACCAAGACAAUUUGAGUUGUCCAAUUGAAAUCUUUUUUUUAACUUGAUGCCCAUGCCCCCAACAUACACACAUUUAGAAAAUGUUGUUCUUUUCCAAAUAAAUUGUAUUUAAUAAAUUAUUUCAUUUUCAUCAUCUUUUUUUUUGGAA
This is a non-coding RNA of Doryrhamphus excisus (bluestripe pipefish), 2501 nucleotides long. The record is from RefSeq and is a predicted model, not a curated record. Lineage: Eukaryota; Metazoa; Chordata; Actinopteri; Syngnathiformes; Syngnathidae.